RNAcentral lists this ribosomal RNA (253 nucleotides) under uncultured bacterium. RNAcentral describes it as "partial 16S ribosomal RNA". It matches the Rfam family "Bacterial small subunit ribosomal RNA", at positions 524 to 776 of the family's 1533-position model. The record is from RNAcentral.
UACGAAGGGUGCAAACGUUGCUCGGAAUCAUUGGGCGUAAAGCGCACGUAGGCGGCUUCGAAAGUCGGAUGUGAAAUCCCAUGGCUCAACCAUGGACGUGCACCCGAAACUGCGAGGCUUGAGUACUGAAGAGGAUCGCGGAAUUCCCGGUGUAGAGGUGAAAUUCGUAGAUAUCGAGAGGAACACCGGUGGCGAAGGCGGCCAACUGGACGAAUACUGACGCUGAGACACGAAAGCGUGGGGAGCAAACAGG